GAUUGGGGUGGUGAAUAUCGCAAAUUAAAUAAAUUUUUUUGAAACCAUUGGCAUUCACCAUCGCCUAA
This 68-nucleotide small RNA is filed under the name Salix viminalis (osier). Lineage: Eukaryota; Viridiplantae; Streptophyta; Magnoliopsida; Malpighiales; Salicaceae. The record is from RNAcentral.